UGUGCUGUCACUCAGUGGUAGAAUGCUUACCUAGCAUGUAUGAAGCCAGGGUUCCAUUCCCAGCAUCAAAA
Molecule: transfer RNA, 71 nt
Filed under: Mus musculus (house mouse)
Lineage: Eukaryota; Metazoa; Chordata; Mammalia; Rodentia; Muridae
Description: tRNA-Ala
Source: RNAcentral